RNAcentral lists this ribosomal RNA (429 nucleotides) under Fusobacteriota bacterium. RNAcentral describes it as "Fusobacteria bacterium partial 16S ribosomal RNA". It matches the Rfam family "Bacterial small subunit ribosomal RNA", at positions 355 to 776 of the family's 1533-position model. Lineage: Bacteria; Fusobacteriati; Fusobacteriota. The record is from RNAcentral.
UGGGGAAUAUUGCGCAAUGGGCGAAAGCCUGACGCAGCGACGCCGCGUGAGGGAAGAAGGUUUUCGGAUCGUAAACCUCUGUCAGAAGGGAAGAAACCGCACUGUGCUAAUCAGCAGUGCCUUGACGGUACCUUCAAAGGAAGCACCGGCUAACUCCGUGCCAGCAGCCGCGGUAAUACGGAGGGUGCAAGCGUUAAUCGGAAUUACUGGGCGUAAAGCGCACGUAGGCUGCUUUGUAAGUCAGGGGUGAAAUCCAACGGCUUAACCGUGGAACUGCCUUUGAUACUGCUUAGCUUGAAUCCGGGAGAGGGUGGCGGAAUUCCAGGUGUAGGAGUGAAAUCCGUAGAUAUCUGGAGGAACAUCAGUGGCGAAGGCGGCCACCUGGACCGGUAUUGACGCUGAGGUGCGAAAGCGUGGGGAGCAAACAGG